AGAAUGUAUGCAAGAGCUGCUAACUCCUGCUACCAUGUAUAAUAACAUGGCUUUCUUA
This 58-nucleotide transfer RNA is filed under the name Mesocricetus auratus (golden hamster). RNAcentral's name for it is "tRNA (ENSMAUG00000000030.1)". Lineage: Eukaryota; Metazoa; Chordata; Mammalia; Rodentia; Cricetidae. The record is from RNAcentral.